UACAGAGGUGCCGAGCGUUAGGCGGAAUCACUGGGCUUAAAGCGUGUGUAGGCGGACUUCUAAGUACCUUGUGAAAUCCCACGGCUCACCCGUGGAACUGCUGGGUAUACUGGUCGUCUUGAGCCACCUAGGGGCGAGCGGAACAAAUGGUGGAACGGUGAAAUGCGUAGAUAUCAUUUGGAACGCCAACGGUGAAAACAGCUCGCUGGGGGUGUGCUGACGCUGAGACACGAAAGCCAGGGGAGCGAACGGG
RNAcentral lists this ribosomal RNA (253 nucleotides) under uncultured bacterium. Its description in RNAcentral is "partial 16S ribosomal RNA". It matches the Rfam family "Bacterial small subunit ribosomal RNA", at positions 524 to 776 of the family's 1533-position model. The record is from RNAcentral.